GAUGAACGCUGGCGGCGUGCCUAAUACAUGCAAGUCGAGCGAACAGAUGAGGAGCUUGCUCCUCUGACGUUGGCGACGGACGGGUGAGUAACACGUGGAUAACCUACCUAUAAGACUGGGAUUACUUCGGGAAACCGGAGCUAAUACCGGAUAAUAUAUUGAGCCUGAUGGUUCAAUAGUGAAAGACGGUUUUGCUGUUGCUUAUACAUGGUUCCGCGCCGCAUUAGCUAGUUGGUAAGGUAACGGCUUACCCAGGCAACGAUGCGUAGCCGACCUGAGAGGGUGAUCGGCCACAUGGGAACUGAGACACGGUCCAGAGUCCUACGGGAGGCAGCAGUAGGGAAUCGUACGCAAUGGGCGAAAGCCUGACGGAGCAACGCCGAGUGAGUGAUGAAGGUCUUCGGAGCGUAAAACUCUGUUAUUAGGGAAGAACAAAUGUGUAAGUAACUAUGCACGUCUUGACGGUACCUAAUAAGAAAGCCACGGCUAACUACGUG
RNAcentral lists this ribosomal RNA (497 nucleotides) under uncultured bacterium. Its description in RNAcentral is "partial 16S ribosomal RNA". It matches the Rfam family "Bacterial small subunit ribosomal RNA", at positions 28 to 507 of the family's 1533-position model. The record is from RNAcentral.